UACAGAGGUCCCAAGCGUUGUUCGGAUUCACUGGGCGUAAAGGGCGCGUAGGCGAUUGGGCAAGUCUCUUGUGAAAGCCCAGGGCUUAACCCUGGAAGUGCAGGAGAUACUGCUUAAUUUGAGUUCAGGAGAGGAAGGCAGAAUUCCCGGUGUAGCGGUGAAAUGCGUAGAUAUCGGGAGGAAUACCAGUGGCGAAGGCGGCCUUCUGGACUGACACUGACGCUGAGGCGCGAAAGCUAGGGGAGCAAACGGG
Molecule: ribosomal RNA, 253 nt
Filed under: uncultured bacterium
Lineage: Bacteria
Description: partial 16S ribosomal RNA
Rfam family: Bacterial small subunit ribosomal RNA
Source: RNAcentral